AGAGUUUGAUCCUGGCUCAGGAUGAACGCUGGCGGCNNGCUUAACACAUGCAAGUCGAACGGUGAAAGAGAGCUUGCUCUCUGGAUCAGUGGCGAACGGGUGAGUAACACGUGAGCAAUCUGCCCCUGACUCUGGGAUAAGCGCUGGAAACGGCGUCUAAUACCGGAUACGAGCUGCGAAGGCAUCUUCAGCAGCUGGAAAGAACUUCGGUCAGGGAUGAGCUCGCGGCCUAUCAGCCAGUUGGUGAGGUAAUGGCUCACCAAGGCGUCGACGGGUAGCCGGCCUGAGAGGGUGACCGGCCACACUGGGACUGAGACACGGCCCAGACUCCUACGGGAGGCAGCAGUGGGGAAUAUUGCACAAUGGGCGCAAGCCUGAUGCAGCAACGCCGCGUGAGGGACGACGGCCUUCGGGUUGUAAACCUCUUUUAGCAAGGAAGAAGCGAAAGUGACGGUACUUGCAGAAAAAGCGCCGGCUAACUACGUGCCAGCAGCCGCGGUAAUACGUAGGGCGCAAGCGUUAUCCGGAAUUAUUGGGCGUAAAGAGCUCGUAGGCGGUUUGUCACGUCUGCUGUGAAAACGCGAGGCUCAACCUCGCGCCUGCAGUGGGUACGGGCAGACUAGAGUGCGGUAGGGGAGAUUGGAAUUCCUGGUGUAGCGGUGGAAUGCGCAGAUAUCAGGAGGAACACCGAUGGCGAAGGCAGAUCUCUGGGCCGUAACUGACGCUGAGGAGCGAAAGGGUGGGGAGCAAACAGGCUUAGAUACCCUGGUAGUCCACCCCGUAAACGUUGGGAACUAGUUGUGGGGUCCAUUCCACGGAUUCCGUGACGCAGCUAACGCAUUAAGUUCCCCGCCUGGGGAGUACGGCCGCAAGGCUAANACUCAAAGGAAUUGACGGGGACCCGCACAAGCGGCGGAGCAUGCGGAUUAAUUCGAUGCAACGCGAAGAACCUUACCAAGGCUUGACAUAUACGAGAACACUGCAGAAA
RNAcentral lists this ribosomal RNA (988 nucleotides) under bacterium E02. RNAcentral's name for it is "bacterial SSU rRNA". It matches the Rfam family "Bacterial small subunit ribosomal RNA", at positions 8 to 1006 of the family's 1533-position model. The record is from RNAcentral.